AUGGGACGUCUGCUGUUCUUCCGAGCUUCCCCUCUCUCUGAAGCCGUUUCUGUCUUUGUAACUAUGGGGGCGCAUGGCAGCACGCUCUGCUUUCUCACGUCACUGACAUGCUUCGCAGGCUCCUCCUCCUCUCUGUCGUGGAAAUGGUGUUGUCCUGCAUGUGUGGGCUGCAUCACCCCCUCCUCGUUCUGGGCAGCGCUCUCCCAGCCAGCCCUGUGCAUGUCAGGGGUUGCGGCGGGCUUCUCUGUGGAUGGCUCCUGGCUUCCCGUCUGCAGCCUGAGGGGCAGACUGCCCCAGUCUCCAUGUGCUGGAACCCUGCUCGCUCACUUCCUCCUCCAACCAGGGAUGGUGCUGGUGUUGUCCCCUUUGUGUAGAAGAGAAGAACGGAGACUUACAGAGGGUGACUGCUAGCAGAGCUGGGAUGCCAGUCAAGGCUUGUGAGCUGCCAGCACCUCAGCCGUGAGCCACCAGUCGACUGCUUCUGACUUGGGCUCCCAUGAGACCUUCACAGGACUGUUGUGUGUCAGUGCCAUCCGAGCAUCAGGGAGUUGCCAGGUGAGUGGUGCUUUGGGAUCAACAUCAGGAUACACUGACGUACAGUUUGACCUUCUGUUUUUAAAAUCAUCAGAAUGACCAAGAGUUUCCUUUCUCCAUUUGCGGUGCUGAUGCUCAGAAAAGAAUUUCUAUAUGGCUUCCUUGAGAGUUCCUUCUUAGUCAUGGACCUCCUGUUGAUAUGUGUUGGAACAUUCAGCUGCUCAGAAAGCUAAACCACAACCCCUCCCCCUUGGGUCUGACCGUAUUUGUUUAGGGGUCCACUCAUCUGUUCCCUUGACUUUCUGAUCUUUGUGUGUUUGGAAAGUAUUGAUCUCCUUUCGAUGUCACAGAACUCUUUUCACACAGUCAAAUCACUGGG
RNAcentral lists this long non-coding RNA (913 nucleotides) under Mustela putorius furo (domestic ferret). RNAcentral's name for it is "lncRNA (ENSMPUG00000025061.1)". Lineage: Eukaryota; Metazoa; Chordata; Mammalia; Carnivora; Mustelidae. The record is from RNAcentral.